This 497-nucleotide ribosomal RNA is filed under the name Fusarium cf. solani ATS1. Its description in RNAcentral is "eukaryotic LSU rRNA". The stretch from base 122 to 275 matches the Rfam family "5.8S ribosomal RNA". The record is from RNAcentral. Lineage: Eukaryota; Fungi; Ascomycota; Sordariomycetes; Hypocreales; Nectriaceae.
CAUACCUAUAACGUUGCCUCGGCGGGAACAGACGGCCCCGUAACACGGGCCGCCCCCGCCAGAGGACCCCCUAACUCUGUUUCUAUAAUGUUUCUUCUGAGUAAACAAGCAAAUAAAUUAAAACUUUCAACAACGGAUCUCUUGGCUCUGGCAUCGAUGAAGAACGCAGCGAAAUGCGAUAAGUAAUGUGAAUUGCAGAAUUCAGUGAAUCAUCGAAUCUUUGAACGCACAUUGCGCCCGCCAGUAUUCUGGCGGGCAUGCCUGUUCGAGCGUCAUUACAACCCUCAGGCCCCCGGGCCUGGCGUUGGGGAUCGGCGGAAGCCCCCUGCGGGCACAACGCCGUCCCCCAAAUACAGUGGCGGUCCCGCCGCAGCUUCCAUUGCGUAGUAGCUAACACCUCGCAACUGGAGAGCGGCGCGGCCACGCCGUAAAACACCCAACUUCUGAAUGUUGACCUCGAAUCAGGUAGGAAUACCCGCUGAACUUAAGCAUAUCAA